AUGGUGGUGAAAACACCAGACGGCCAGGCCCAUCCCGUCCCGGUAAUCUCUACCGGGCCGGUCCAAUCGAGCGAGCCGGGCUCUUCGUGUUCGUCGCCGUGUCCGGGCCGGUCAGGCCCGCACCACUCGGGCUCCAUAACACCAGACCGGGAGGGUUCUGCUCCCCAACCGGCGCCACCGAAACCCCUUGACGGCCGGACCGCCGCUGCCGCUGCCGCUGCCGCCCGUCGCCGCGCCCCUCCUCGGCGUCCACCGGCAGGACUCCAUAGUAUUACGGCAUCCCCUUCACACCCGCUUCCAUCAGGCGGUGGGCAUCUCGCGGUGUUCACCAGCAGGGGGGAGGGGGGCUCGAUUCGGCUGCUGAGAGCUGAGGGAGGAGCGGCCAAGAUGUCGGAUUUCCAGACCUCCACGCACCGGGAGCGGUGGAUCUUCCAGCCGCAGGACCUGGUGAAUAAGUGGACGACGGCGAACCGGCGUUCAGCGGAGAUCCUCGCCCAAUAUGGGACGACGCGAUUGAAGGUGGACCCUGUUGAUGGCUCGAUAUCGAACCCAGAACCCGUGCCCGACCAUGUUGUUGGGAGCUCGAGUGUGAAGCCUCUAUCCUGCGAAGAGGAGCAAGUGAUGCGGAUAUUUUACGAGCAAAAGAUUCAAGAAGUGUGCAGAGCAUUCAAAUUCCCCCAUAAAAUUCAGGCUACAGCGAUCAUAUAUUUCAAGAGAUUCUAUCUACAGUGGUCUGUAAUGGAGCACCACCCAAAGCAUAUUAUGUUAACUUGUGUAUAUGCUUCUUGCAAAGUGGAAGAAAAUCAUGUUUCUGCUGAGGAACUUGGCAAAGGGAUUCAGCAGGACCACCAGAUCAUUCUAAAUAAUGAGAUGAUUGUUCUGAAAUCUUUAGAUUUUGAUUUGAUCGUUUAUGCUCCAUAUCGUUCUAUCGAAGGAUUUAUUGAUGACAUGGAUGAUUUUUGUAGGGCAGGUAAUGGUGCACACCAACGGUUGAAGGAUUUGCAUCAAACUGCGAAUUCUGAGGUUGACACAAUGAUGUUGACUGAUGCACCUCUUCUCUAUACUCCUGGACAGUUGGCUUUGGCUGCUCUGUACAAGUCCAACAGUGCACUCAGUGUCCUCGAUUUUGAAAGAUACUUGGAAAGUGUUUUUUCAAGGCAACACUUUGAUUGUCCUGUCGAACAAUUUAUUCAGAUAAUCAGUUCAAUCAAUCACCUGGUUAGCCAGCUUCAACUACCUGGUACGAAAGAAAUGAGGCAUGCUGAUCGCAAGCUGAAGCAUUGUUUGGAUCCAAGCUCAAGCUCUCAUGAUGACCACAAGAAGAAAGAAAAGAAGUCAAAGCACAAAUCGAAAAGGACUGCCAGUGAUGCCCAGCUCAACAGCUAG
Molecule: ribosomal RNA, 1386 nt
Filed under: Triticum aestivum (bread wheat)
Lineage: Eukaryota; Viridiplantae; Streptophyta; Magnoliopsida; Poales; Poaceae
Description: partial small subunit ribosomal RNA
Source: RNAcentral